This 74-nucleotide transfer RNA is filed under the name Stegodyphus mimosarum. It matches the Rfam family "tRNA". From Rfam's summary of the family: Transfer RNA (tRNA) molecules are approximately 80 nucleotides in length. Their secondary structure includes four short double-helical elements and three loops (D, anti-codon, and T loops). Further hydrogen bonds mediate the characteristic L-shaped molecular structure. tRNAs have two regions of fundamental functional importance: the anti-codon, which is responsible for specific mRNA codon recognition, and the 3' end, to which the tRNAs corresponding amino acid is attached (by aminoacyl-tRNA synthetases). tRNAs cope with the degeneracy of the genetic code in two manners: having more than one tRNA (with a specific anti-codon) for a particular amino acid; and 'wobble' base-pairing, i.e. permitting non-standard base-pairing at the 3rd anti-codon position. The record is from Rfam by way of RNAcentral. Lineage: Eukaryota; Metazoa; Arthropoda; Arachnida; Araneae; Eresidae.
GCCUUCGUGGUGUAGUGGUCAGCACGCUCGACGCGUAACCGAGAGGUCCGUGUGUUCGAUUCCCGGCGAAGGCG